RNAcentral lists this ribosomal RNA (172 nucleotides) under uncultured bacterium. Its description in RNAcentral is "partial 16S ribosomal RNA". It matches the Rfam family "Bacterial small subunit ribosomal RNA", at positions 338 to 524 of the family's 1533-position model. The record is from RNAcentral.
CCUACGGGAGGCAGCAGUGGGGAAUAUUGCACAAUGGGGGAAACCCUGAUGCAGCGACGCCGCGUGAAGGAAGAAGGUCUUCGGAUCGUAAACUUCUAUCAGCAGGGAAGAAGAUAGUGACGGUACCUGACUAAGAAGCCCCGGCUAACUACGUGCCAGCAGCCGCGGUAAU